ACCUAGCCCCGAUUGUAGCGGAAAUUUUUUGAUGCAGAUGGCUAUUUUUUCUUGCUUUAAAAAAGCGACCAAAGGAAGCUCUUUUUGAAGCGUAGAAAAAAAGCCGGAUGCGGCAAAAAAUUGCAGCGGAAAGCGGGAUUAGCU
This 144-nucleotide small RNA is filed under the name Flavobacterium lacus. RNAcentral's name for it is "Flavo-1 RNA". It matches the Rfam family "Flavo-1 RNA". Lineage: Bacteria; Pseudomonadati; Bacteroidota; Flavobacteriia; Flavobacteriales; Flavobacteriaceae. The record is from RNAcentral.